RNAcentral lists this ribosomal RNA (462 nucleotides) under uncultured bacterium. RNAcentral's name for it is "partial 16S ribosomal RNA". It matches the Rfam family "Bacterial small subunit ribosomal RNA", at positions 338 to 795 of the family's 1533-position model. The record is from RNAcentral.
CCUACGGGAGGCAGCAGUGAGGAAUAUUGGUCAAUGGACGCAAGUCUGAACCAGCCAAGUAGCGUGCAGGAUGACGGCCCUCCGGGUUGUAAACUGCUUUUAGUUGGGAAUAAAAGGGGGCUCGUGAGCCCCGUAUUGUAUGUACCAUCAGAAAAAGGACCGGCUAAUUCCGUGCCAGCAGCCGCGGUAAUACGGAAGGUCCGGGCGUUAUCCGGAUUUAUUGGGUUUAAAGGGAGCGUAGGCCGGCUUUUAAGUCAGCUGUGAAAGUCCGCGGCUCAACCGUGGAAUUGCAGUUGAAACUGGCUGUCUUGAGAUGUCGAGAGGUAUGCGGAAUGCGCAGUGUAGCGGUGAAAUGCUUAGAUAUUGCGCAGAACUCCGAUUGCGAAGGCAGCAUACCGGCGGCGAUCUGACGCUGAGGCACGAAAGCGUGGGUAUCGAACAGGAUUAGAUACCCCUGUAGUC